Molecule: long non-coding RNA, 3042 nt
Filed under: Homo sapiens (human)
Lineage: Eukaryota; Metazoa; Chordata; Mammalia; Primates; Hominidae
Description: non-protein coding lnc-GPR101-3:1
Source: RNAcentral
GUAGAAACAUGCAGUUAUCAUUUAUUUCAAUUCUUUUCUAAACACAGACUUCCAAUUCCAAUAAUGCAAGUAUAGCAAAUGCAUUAGUUUCUUAUGGCUUUACCUCAGCACAUAAAUGAAAAUAAUACAGCAAAACUGUAACUUCUGAGCAAGUAAUCACAAGAAUUAUAAAGACUAAGAAAAGGAAGCCAAACAUGUAGUACAGCUAAUGAGACCAAAUACUGUUCAGAAUGAAAAAGAGUUGAAUAAAAAUACAGCCGAAGGGGAAAAUGCCACCAAUUAUGAUGCCAAGAAGUGGUUUUGUAAAGAAGGUAUUUUAAGAGUUUACCUUUUCUUUAUUUCCAAAAUAUGCACCAAAAAAUGUUAGUGGUACUAAAAUUCUAAACCAAAUUGUAAGGAUAUCUAGCAGAGUAGCAAAGGAGACGGCAGCUGAUGACCCUUCCAUCCAGAGAAUUUUCAUCAUAAUAAAGAGAUCAGCAAAGACAAUUUCCAGUUUUUAAAUGGGGAUUUUAAUAGACAUACUUCCAAAGAAGACAUGCAAAUGGUCAAUAAGCACAUGAAAAGAUGCUCAAUAUCAUUAGUCAUCAGGGAAAUGCAAAUUAAAACUAUAAAAUAGGCGGUGCACCCUGGGAUAGGGAGCGAUCUCCAAGCGAGGCGGCAAGAUGGACUCAGGAUUCUUCCACCGAUCAAGUGCAGAACAGUAUAAUCGGUUCAGCAACAAACAGAAGAAACUACUGAAGCAGCUGAAAUUUGCAGAAUGCCUAGAAAAAAAGGUGGACACGAGCAAAGUAAAUUUGGAAGUUAUAAAGCCUUGGAUAACAAAAAGAGUAACAAAAAUCCUUGGGUUUGAAGAUGAUGUUGUGAUUGAGUUUAUAUUCAACCAGCUGUAAGUGAAGAAUCCAGACUCCAAAAUGAUGCAAAUCAACCUGAAUGGAUUUUCGAAUGGAAAAAAUGCUCGAGAAUUUACGGGAGAACUAUGGCCCCUGCUGCUAAGUGCACAAGAAAACAUCUCGGGAAUCUCUUCUGCUUUCCUAGAACUGAAGAAAGAAGAAAUAAAACAAAGACAGAUUGAAUAAGAAAAAUUGGCGUCUAAAAGAAGGAAAAAACUCCAGAGCUUUUUUUUUUUUUAAACUAAAGCUAUAUAAAGCUUGUGGAUUAAACAGAAUAAAUUUCUAAAUUUUGGUCUUAAAUUCCUGGGUGCAAGCAAUUUGUCUACCUUAGCCUCCCAAAGUGCUGGGAUUACAGGCACAAGUUAUCACGCCCUGCCCAUUUCUUAUAUUUUACAUUUUUUGUAUGUUAAGUAUUUUGGUGGUGACUGCCUGUUGUCCUAGACACCCAGGAAGCUGAGGUGGGGAGAGGAGUGAUGCAGCUAGCAAAUGCCUGGUCAGGGAUGUGGAGACUUACUACUCAAAAUGUAAAGAGGAAUAAAGGAAAAAUAGGAGAAAAAUAAAAAGGAGAAACAGUGAUGCUUCCCUUUUGAUUUACUUACUCAGCAUACAAUUUAUCCCUUGGCUUCUGUGUAAUGAAUAAUAGGUAAUCUUUAUGGAAUUGUCUAUACAUGUGUAUGCAUAAUAAAACCAUUCACUCACAGUUGGGAAAAAUUACUGAUGUGCAUCUCUUUCUAUUCAUUUUUGUAACCCUAGUGCCUGGUACAUAAUAUGCCCUUUUAAGUGUUUCUAGAAUGAAUAAAUUCUAUUUAAAGCUGAAAAACUUUUUAUUUUAUUGUUUUAUUUUAUUUUAAGACAGAGUCUCUUAUUUUGAGAUGGAGUCUCACUCUUUCACCCACUCUACAAACUGGCACUAAAGCAGGUUUGUCAGUAGAGGGCGCUGGAGAGACAUCGCAAGGGAAAGGGUUUAUUUCCUGGUUGAUCUUGGCUCACUCCACAGGCUUCUGUUUUCUUUCAGCAUGCUGCAGCCCAAUCGUUUAAGCCCAGGAGUUGGAGACCAGCCUGAACAACGUUGUAAGACCCCACCUCUACAAAGUCCGUAUCCUUUGACCCAGCAAAUAAUUAGUAAUUAUCCUAAAUAAUUAAGACUACAUAGAUGGCUGUACAACAAUAGCUGUCAUUUAUUGAGUGCCUACUAUGUAUUAAACACUGCUCUAGCACUUUACAAGUAUUAUCCUAUUUAUCCUUGUAACAACCCUGUGUAUUACAGUACACACGAUUCUUUUUUAGAGACGGAGCUGUUGCCAGGCUAGAAUGCAGUGGCGCAAUCUUGGCUCACUGCAACUUUGGUGGGACUACAGGCACGCACCACCACGCCCAGCUAAUUUUUAUAGUAUACGCUAUGAUUAUUUCCAUUUUACAGAUGUAGAUAUAAAAUAUGUAUUAUAUAUAUAUGAACAUGGAAAGAAGUCCAUCAUAAACUUCUCAGUAAAGACAUAAAAGAUCACAUACAUACAUAUAUAAAAUCUCACAUGAAGUUAUACACAGUAUACAUAAAAAAAAUUUAUUAAAAUUGGAGAGGAUUACGAGGAGACUCUUGGAACUCUAUACCAAAUAAAGAGUUUUGUAGGAGGUUUUCACAAGCCUAUACUACUUUUGUAAUUGUAAAAACCAUAAUGUUUCAUAAUAAGGAGGUGUGAGGUGGGGGUCUCAAAGAUCCAGAGACCUACCUGGAUCUCUGGCAUGGUAGUGUGUCCAGAAAUGGUGGGUUCUUGGUCUCACUGACUUCAAGAAUGAAACCGCGGACCCUCGCGGUGACCGUUACAGUUCUUACAGGCGGUGUGUCUGGAGUUUGUUUCUUCUAGACGUUCGGAUGUGUCCGGAGUUUUUUCCUUCUGGGAAGAGGAAAUUCACAAGAAAGAGUAUCACUAUAUAAAAGAAAUAGCAAAAAGUAGCUGCUGGUUUUAUUUAAGCUUUGUUGUUGUUUUUUUUUAGACAGAGUCUCACUCUGUCGCCACGCCUGGACUGCAGUGGCGCAGUCUGGGCUUACUGCAACCUCCACCUCCUGGGUUCAAGUGAUUCCCGUGCCUCAGCCUCCCGAGUAGCUGGUACUACAGGCAUGCACCACCACGCCCGGCUAAUUUUUUUUUUUUUU